Molecule: long non-coding RNA, 1172 nt
Organism: Danio aesculapii
Lineage: Eukaryota; Metazoa; Chordata; Actinopteri; Cypriniformes; Danionidae
Exons: 7
Source: RefSeq, a predicted model, not a curated record
GCACUUUUAGAACCCAUGUUUAUAUUGUUAAAUUGCACUUGUCCCUCUCUCUAUCUCUGUUAACACAUUUGUGUUUGUUUGUUUAAUCCUUGUGUCUUUCAGUCUGUUUCUGCCUAUCACAAUGAGUGAUUCAGAACUUCAAGAGCAACUUUUGAACCUUGAUACUCGGAUUGAUCAAGAUUUCAAUUAUAAGCUCAAGUCUUGAUGACAACUUGGUGAUCUGCAGGAAGCAACUCCAGUAAAGACAACUGAACCAAGGGUAUGGUGGAGAAAGAGACACAUUGUGUAAGGAAGGCCAAGACCAAUCUGGAAUCAAUAAAGGCUCAUAGGAACUCCAAUCGUCCCAACUGUGAGAGGGCCUUGCUCCAGUGACUGUUGGAAGAUUUGUGGACUACAUUAACUAAUGACACUACCUCCAAAGAGUUGCAAAAAGCUGUCCAAAGUUCCAGCACCCUCUUUAAGUCCUUCAUUUUGGUGUUCCAUGCCAAAGCACAUGAGUUUUAAUGUGAGAUUGGUGAACUAUAUGAGCAUCUUAAACUAAUGCCAAAAUUUUGUUAUUGCUUUCCAGGAUAUUGGCAUACCAGGAUAGGUGUGGUUUAACUGUUGGGAAGGAGGUUGGAACAGUGCAAUGUUUCCUCUCUUGGAUUGCAGUGACCAGACAUGCUACUGUAACUCUCAUGGUCAUGUGCUGGAAUUAGCAGAUGUUCAACUAUUUGCCCAUCUCGCUGACCUGUUGAUAUCAGAAGACCACAACAGCUCUGCAAUGCAAGUUGCAAAACAGAAUCCAUGAAACUGGCAGUGACCGGAAACCAAUUGGAAGACUUUGGUUUAUGAUGUAGAGAAGUGGGCAGACGAAGCAAAGACAACAAAAAACAGAAGUGAUGUGGAUGUCUUCGCCUUAUAGCAUGACACUGUCGAUCUAACAACAACGAGAAGGGCGUUCAACAUUAUCCUGCUAGUAAGGACUCUUCAAGAGAACAGAGGAUUCUUGUGGCAGAGAUGGCCAACCAUUAUAAAUACCAAAUACCUUUCAACUCAUCCUGGUUCCUUCAGAGAACUGUCCUGCUUGUGUGCUACUGAAAAAUACGACAUGUGGCCUAAACGAAGAGGGGUUAAAAGGUCUGUGGAUCAUCAUUCUCAGAAAGCAACAAAAUAACUGAGAAAAAAAAAAC